Octopus sinensis (East Asian common octopus) is the source of this 214-nucleotide long non-coding RNA. RefSeq lists it as uncharacterized. The transcript has 2 exons. The record is from RefSeq and is a predicted model, not a curated record. Lineage: Eukaryota; Metazoa; Mollusca; Cephalopoda; Octopoda; Octopodidae.
UCCACCUGGUGGCAUAAAAGCUCCACCUAAAGAGUCGAAUUCUUUUUCCACCUGGCAUAAAAGCUCCACCUAAAGAGUCGAAGUUUCUUUUUCCCCCUGGUGGCAUAAAUGCACCACCUAAUGAAUCGAAGUUUCUUUUUCCACCUGGCAUAAAAGCUCCACCUAAAGAGUCGAAGUUUCUUUUUCCACCUGGUGGCAUAAAUGCCCCACUAAU